This is a long non-coding RNA of Dreissena polymorpha, 445 nucleotides long. RefSeq lists it as uncharacterized. The transcript has 3 exons. The record is from RefSeq and is a predicted model, not a curated record. Lineage: Eukaryota; Metazoa; Mollusca; Bivalvia; Myida; Dreissenidae.
AGGAUACAACCAUAAUUAAACCAAGAAGUUUAUGAAGAAGGGAUCACUGGAUUUUAUCACUUUGGUACAAGAAACAGAAAAGGAUAUCAUAGACCACCUUACUUAUACGGAAGCAUAGGAGCUGUUGAAGGAAAUUGCUGCCAGACAGUCAGCAGUUAUCACUGACAGCCUGUCCUGGCCCAGCUUGGACCAUCCUCAAGCUAACCAUGAUGGUGUGUUUGCAAGAAUUGUCCAUUUGGUAGACCAUGAUGAAGACCAGCUUUGUUGUGGCAUGGCCUGACAAUACUGUACAAGCCAGAGACCAAAAAAGGGUUAAGUGGUGACUGAUCCUCUCACCCUCCUUAUCCAGGAAAAGUUUCGGAACAACGUGUUGGCACUGAAGAUGUGUAUCCUUUGGAUACAUGGACACCUUCAACGUGCAGACGACAACAAAACUGUACCUGCC